RNA transcript from Camellia sinensis, 2818 nucleotides. It is a transcript of the gene named putative indole-3-acetic acid-amido synthetase GH3.6, with no coding region annotated. Lineage: Eukaryota; Viridiplantae; Streptophyta; Magnoliopsida; Ericales; Theaceae. The record is from RefSeq and is a predicted model, not a curated record.
AAUGUUUUACAUUUACAUUUACAUUUACAUUUGGUAUUUUAUUUAUUUUUCUUGUCCGGACGGAGCAACCCACUGCCCUAUCGGCCGCACCCAACUCCAUCGCUGUCCUGUUCUGGUCUGUCUGUCUGGGUCGCGAUCUCACCUUUGCAAAGAUGAUGACAGACGAUGAGCUCAUCACGAAGCUCGAAGAAACCACCAAGGACGCGCCGCGCCACCAGCUCGAUACUCUCCGCGCCAUUCUCGAACGCAACGCUGCCGUACGUUAUCUCCACCGAGGCUAUCCUACGCCCUCUGCCGUCGACGCGGCUACUUUCCGGCGAUCCGUUCCCCUGUCUUGCUACGACGAUGACUAUGCCGAUCACAUCCUUCGAAUAGCCGACGGUGAUGAUGAUGAUGAUCGGCCUUUACUCUCCGUUGACUCUUUGGUCUGUUUCUUCUACAGUUCUGGGACAAGUUCCAUGAAGCCAAAAUUGAUCCCUUACUUUGAUUCUGCGCCAUCGAAAGCCAUCUCAUUUUUGGCUCACCAGGGCAGUGCUGCUAUUCUUCGAAGGUUGUUCCCUCCAAGACCCUUUGUCAAUAAGAUUCUCUGGUUUAUGUAUGCUGGUGAUGUAAAAAACACAAAAGGGGGAUACAAGGCUAUGGCAGCCUCCCCUUUUCCCUUUCCAAAGCAAUAAUCCUAACGCAUCCCGGUUUCUCUCCAUGUCGGUCAGUCCAAAAGAAGUCAUUUUAGGUUCGGAUGUUGAGCAACAAAUGUAUUGCCACCUUCUUUGUGGUUUAAGGCACUCUGAUUUAGUUGAUGGGAUUCGAGCACCCUAUGCUGCCGGUUUAGUUAGAGCAAUUUGCCUUCUGGAAUCUAAGUGGGAACAAUUAUGUCAAGAUCUUGAAUAUGGGUAUCCAAGUUCGGGAAUUUUUGAUGUUGCCACAAGAGAUUCAGUUAUUGGGGUUCUCUCUGAGCCUCAACCAGAACUGGCGAAGAGAUAUCGAUCAAUUUGUGAAGAAGAGGAUUGGGGAGGCAUUUUAAGUAAAUUAUGGCCAAAUGCGCGUUAUAUUAAGUGUGUUACCACUGGAAGUAUGGAGCAAUAUUAUUCAAAAAUUAAGUACUAUGGAGGAGAGUUACCAGUGUUAGGUGGAGACUACUUUGCUUCAGAAUGUUGUGUGGGUAUUAACUUGGAUAUUUCACAACCUCCAGAGCUAACCCGAUUUACUAUGCUACCAACUGCAGCGUAUUUUGAGUUUCUUCCGUUCGACAUUAACAAGAUGAGUGCUCGUGAGGAAGAAACAGUUGAUCUUACUGGUGUUGAGAUGGGGAAGAUGUAUGAGGUGGUUGUGACUACUUAUAGAGGAUUGUAUCGAUAUCGUUUGGGUGAUAUUGUGAAGGUUGUCGGUUUCUAUAAUUCAUCCCCACAAGUUGAGUUUGUGAUGAGAGCUCCUAAAACUCCCAGUGAGAUCUUGACAGAAGGGGACUUGAUGUCUGCAAUGAAAAGUUUCCAACAAGUGCUUAGAAAUGAAGCGAUGACAGAGGUGACAGAGUUUGCUGGUUUCUUGGAUUUGGAGUUGAACCCGAAGCAGUUAAAGGUUUUUGUAGAAGUGACAGAGGGAUCUAUAUUUUUGCAGCUGGAGAAAUUAAAUGAGUCGGUUCUAGUUCUUAGAGGGUGCUGUUCCUAUCUUGAGGAUGGAUUCGGAGCAAUAUAUAAGCUUAUGAGGCAAAGAGGUGAAGUUGGUCCGAUGUUGUUAUACAUUGUAAAACCAGGAAGCUUUGAUAAAAUUUUGCAAGUUGCUAUUGAAAACGGAGCACCAGCAAGUCAAUAUAAACCACCUAAAAUUAUAAGAAACCACAAAAUCGUUGAUUUAAUGGAAGAUUGUGCUGUUGUGACUGUAUGCUUGGAUUCUUUUGAUGGUUAAGAUCUGAGGGCUCAAAUAACAAGCACUGUUUGGAUUUCUUCGUGUGAAAAUGUCGUGUUCAUGUAAUAAAAGGAGACAUUUUCUGAGACUCAACUGGUGCUCUCCACGACAGCACUGUCCCAAUAAUGAAGGAAACAGAGACACCACAUACAAUCAUGAGCUGCAGAGGUAGUCAAUGCUCCUCGCAGAUUCUUGGGUGCUAUUUCAGCUAUAAAUACAGAUUUAUUAGCAAAGAGGCAAAGAAAUAGAUUCAUUCACAAGCUUGAAGAUACAUCUUAUAGUGAACCUCUGCUAUCGAUAGAUUGAGAUCUUCUGUGAUGGCAGAUUGAACAGGCGAUGAAUAGCCCACCUGAAAACCAACAAAUUACGACACAUCAGAAUUCUAAAGAAGCAUUUAAUUCAAGUGGAGUUGUGUUUAUGAACAAAUUUUUUUUUUGGUCGUUUAUAAUUGAAUUCUUUUAACUAUUUCUUACAUGAAAUGAAGUUUAAUUGAAUGUUUUGAUUGGCUCUUACACAUGUUCCAAGUGAAUAAGAACCACAUGAGGCAACGAAGGUGCUGAAGUAAACCAUCCAUUCAUGCCUAUCUUUUCUAACAGCUGAAGUCUUCUCUUGAUCUUGUAGAAGUGGCUCUCUAUUCUCUUCUUGCAAGCUGCCCUGGCUUCGCUCUUCAUCCUUUUUGGUUACCAUCUUUCCUAUUUGCAGUUUUUUUCAUUAUAAUACAGGUGUACAAGGGACUUGCAAAUAUGGGACUCGAAUGGAUUAUAUAUUGGCAUCAUCAAACUCACUGGACAAGUUUGUUCCAAGCGCGUACUCUGUGUUUUCAUCCAAAGGGACUUCAGAUCAUCACAUAGUGAAAGUUGACAUGUUAAAAGGAGAGAGCAAUGCUCAACAAUAUGGCAGUAGGAAGAGUAGACAA